GGGGUUGAGGCUCAGUGGUAGAGCACUCGCCUAGCAUGUGUGAGGUGUGAGGUGCUGGGUUCUAUCCUCAGCACCACA
RNAcentral lists this transfer RNA (78 nucleotides) under Marmota monax (woodchuck). RNAcentral describes it as "tRNA.Ala". Lineage: Eukaryota; Metazoa; Chordata; Mammalia; Rodentia; Sciuridae. The record is from RNAcentral.